This 43-nucleotide ribosomal RNA is filed under the name Pogona vitticeps (central bearded dragon). The record is from RNAcentral. Lineage: Eukaryota; Metazoa; Chordata; Lepidosauria; Squamata; Agamidae.
CCUGAACACACCUGAUCUCAUCCAAUUUUGGGAGUUAAGCAGG